AGUGGCGAACGGGUGAGUAACACGUGAGUAACCUGCCCUUAACUCUGGGAUAAGCCUGGGAAACUGGGUCUAAUACCGGAUAGGAGCGCCUACCGCAUGGUGGGUGUUGGAAAGAUUUAUCGGUUUUGGAUGGACUCGCGGCCUAUCAGCUUGUUGGUGAGGUAAUGGCUCACCAAGGCGACGACGGGUAGCCGGCCUGAGAGGGUGACCGGCCACACUGGGACUGAGACACGGCCCAGACUCCUACGGGAGGCAGCAGUGGGGAAUAUUGCACAAUGGGCGCAAGCCUGAUGCAGCGACGCCGCGUGAGGGAUGACGGCCUUCGGGUUGUAAACCUCUUUCAGUAGGGAAGAAGCGAAAGUGACGGUACCUGCAGAAGAAGCACCGGCUAACUACGUGCCAGCAGCCGCGGUAAUACGUAGGGUGCGAGCGUUAUCCGGAAUUAUUGGGCGUAAAGAGCUCGUAGGCGGUUUGUCGCGUCUGUCGUGAAAGUCCGGGGCUUAACCCCGGAUCUGCGGUGGGUACGGGCAGACUAGAGUGCAGUAGGGGAGACUGGAAUUCCUGGUGUAGCGGUGGAAUGCGCAGAUAUCAGGAGGAACACCGAUGGCGAAGGCAGGUCUCUGGGCUGUAACUGACGCUGAGGAGCGAAAGCAUGGGGAGCGAACAGGAUUAGAUACCCUGGUAGUCCAUGCCGUAAACGUUGGGCACUAGGUGUGGGGACCAUUCCACGGUUUCCGCGCCGCAGCUAACGCAUUAAGUGCCCCGCCUGGGGAGUACGGCCGCAAGGCUAAAACUCAAAGGAAUUGACG
Molecule: ribosomal RNA, 809 nt
Filed under: Micrococcus sp.
Lineage: Bacteria; Bacillati; Actinomycetota; Actinomycetes; Micrococcales; Micrococcaceae
Description: bacterial SSU rRNA
Rfam family: Bacterial small subunit ribosomal RNA
Source: RNAcentral